Non-coding RNA from Xyrichtys novacula (pearly razorfish), 508 nucleotides. The record is from the annotation of a GenBank genome assembly. Lineage: Eukaryota; Metazoa; Chordata; Actinopteri; Labriformes; Labridae.
CUCCUCUUUGUCUUCUCUGACUCUUUUCUGUCCCCUGGCUUUUGUUGCUGACUCCAGUCUCCCACCUUUCAUCGUUGUUUCCUUCUUCUUUAACCCCCUCAUCCUGAUUCUCGUCCAACUCUUCUUUAUUUUUUUUUCUUUUCCAUUUUCUCCUUCCUCUUGGAACAGUAGUAGUGUGUAGUAUUAGUGUGCUGUCCAGGCAGGUUAGAGAGGGUAAUUUGAGCCUCUAAGGGCGCCGUGGGGCUUGGAUCUCGUUUUGGAAGGUGUGCUGACAGUCAGCAAUCCAGCACUGAUCACACCAAAGUCACAAAGCUCUGUAAGAUGUGUAACAUCCUCGAGGGGAGAGGGUAAGUGUAAAUGAGUAAAGGAGAAAGUGCAGAGAAAGAAAUGGUCGUAGUUUUAUCCACACAGACAGAGUCAACAGAGAUGUCACUGUGCACCCAGGGCCAUGUUAGCUUCGAAGCCCAAGUCCAUUUGCACCUGACAUGAGGGGGAAGCAACUUUUCUG